GACGAACGCUGGCGGCGUGCUUAACACAUGCAAGUCGAACGGAAAGGCCCCUUCGGGGGUACUCGAGUGGCGAACAGGUGAGUAACACGUGAGUAACCUGCCCUUGACUUCGGGAUAACUUCAGGAAACUGGGGCUAAUACCGGAUAGGAAUCCUUGCUGCAUGGUGGGGGUUGGAAAGCUUCGGCGGUUUUGGAUGGACUCGCGGCUUAUCAGCUUGUUGGUGGGGUAGUGGCUUACCAAGGCUUUGACGGGUAGCCGGCCUGAGAGGGCGACCGGCCACAUUGGGACUGAGAUACGGCCCAGACUCCUACGGGAGGCAGCAGUGGGGAAUAUUGCACAAUGGGCGGAAGCCUGAUGCAGCAACGCCGCGUGCGGGAUGACGGCCUUCGGGUUGUAAACCGCUUUCAGCAGGGGCGAAGCUUGUGGUGACAGUACCUGCAGAAGAAGCACCGGCUAACUACGUG
This 465-nucleotide ribosomal RNA is filed under the name uncultured bacterium. RNAcentral describes it as "partial 16S ribosomal RNA". It matches the Rfam family "Bacterial small subunit ribosomal RNA", at positions 28 to 507 of the family's 1533-position model. The record is from RNAcentral.